Molecule: RNA transcript, 4726 nt
Organism: Prionailurus viverrinus (fishing cat)
Lineage: Eukaryota; Metazoa; Chordata; Mammalia; Carnivora; Felidae
Gene: APH1B
Gene name: aph-1 homolog B, gamma-secretase subunit
Exons: 8
Source: RefSeq, a predicted model, not a curated record
UCCAGCCCCCGCCGUCGCGCCCUGCUCCCGCCCCCGCGCGGCGCUGAGCUCUGUCGGCGCCUGGCGUACUUCGAGUCCCCGCCAGGCCUCCGGGCCGGCUUCCGCGGUCGCCAUGACGGCGGCCGUGUUCUUCGGCUGCGCCUUCAUUGCCUUCGGGCCUGCGCUGGCCCUCUACAUCUUCACCAUCGCCACUGAGCCGUUGCGCGUCAUCUUCCUCAUCAUCGGAGCUUUUUUCUGGUUGGUAUCUCUGCUGUUUUCGUCCCUUUUUUGGUUCAUGGCAAGAACCAUUACUGACAACAAAGAUGGACCAAUACAGAAAUAUCUGCUGAUCUUGGGAGUGUUAGUCUCCGUCCUUGUCCAAGAAAUGUUUCGAUUUGCAUAUUAUAAACUUUUGAAAAAAGCCAAUGAGGGUUUGAGGAGUAUAAACCCAGAUGAGACAGCACCCUCUAUGCGAUUGCUGGCCUAUGUUUCUGGCUUGGGUUUUGGAAUCAUGAGUGGAGUAUUUUCCUUUGUAAAUACCCUUUCUGACUCCUUGGGACCAGGCACAGUGGGCAUUCAUGGAGACUCUCCUCAGUUCUUCCUAAAUUCAGCUUUCAUGACGCUGGUUAUCAUAUUGCUGCACGUGUUCUGGGGCAUCAUAUUUUUUGAUGGCUGUGAGAAGAAAAAGUGGUCUGCCCUUCUUGUAGUUCUUCUGACCCAUCUGCUGGUGUCAGCCCUGACCUUCAUAAGUCCUCAUUAUGGAAUAAAUUUGGUGUCAACAUAUAUAAUUGUGGUACUCAUGGGCAUUUGGGCAUUCUUUGUUGCUGGCGGCAGCUGCCGAAGCCUGAAACUGUGCCUCCUCUGCCAAGACAAGGACUUCCUCCUUUUCAAUCAGCGUUCCAGAUAACCUCUGACAACCAGCACCUGCCAAACACAGUAAAUCAUUAUCCUGCGCUAUGCUAAGAACCAUAACAGAGAUGAACGGGUUGUUCCAGCCGCAUUGAAAGAGACUACCUCAGAGCCCUGGACUCAGAAGCAACUCACACCAAGAUGGCAGAGGGAGAGGGAGGCCGGAGGACAUCAAAGCUGUCACUCCAUGGGGCAAACCGGAGUAAAAGUAAGACCGUUGCUCAGCUGAGGGCAAAUCCAAAUUCCUUAGGGACAGUCGGAAGCAUAGAUGAAGCAAUCAUGGGGACCCUUCGAAACCCUCGGGUCAGGAAGAGGUACAGCUACCGGGUGGCAAGCCUUCUGGAGUGAGGCCGCCAGCCUUUUCUCUGAUCACAACAUCGUCUGGACCCACAGCCAGCAUGGCAGAAGCUGCCAGCCAGGCACGAAUGGAAAAACUCAGUGAGUAAAGAGGCGUAGCGAUGAGAUGAUUUCUCCUUGCCCACAUGACUAAAGGGAACUGGGUCAGAAGGACUUUCUCUUCCCAGAGCAGAGGUUCCAAAAGGUGUCAUGAAGAGAGCCUUCUAGUGAUAACUAAACCAAGAGCUCCUGGGGGACAGGGACAUCUCUUGUUCAUCUCUGUGAACUCAUGCUGUGAUUAGGGUCCCAUGCAUAACAGGCAUUUAGUAAACAGCUUCCCAAAGAAUAAAAGACCCCAAAGAACAGAGAGCUUGGGAGAAGGUUGUCAGGAGGAACUUUUCCUUUUCAUUGCACCCUAAAUACUCUUUGUUGGAAGUCACACUGAAUUAGGUAUUUGGGGGCAGAAAGACUAGGGAUAUAAAAGGCAACAGAGUCUGUGUUGGCAAAACCUCCCGAGGAAAGAAAAGCAACUGCACAGGACCAGAAGAGUCCAGAAAACAAGAUUUCAGCGCCAGCUGUCCCAGCACCUCAGUGAGUGACCUUGAGCAAGUCACAUGCGCUGCCUGAGUCUCCUUUACCCUCAUACAAAUGAGAGGAUUGAACGCUGCGUUCCGAAAGUUCCAUUCUGGCUCCCAGCUCCGAGACUGAUUCAGAUCACCUAGGACUAAGCACCUCCACCCUCGGUGUCAGGCAGGUUUGAACGGGUUGGAGACGGUUGCUCAUGCCAAGGCAGCGCCUGGGCAUGUGACAAGGUGCCCAGUGGGGAGCGGCGGUGAGGCUGAGCGCAGGGCGCUGCUGCUCCGAGGUCUGGCUAGAAAGCCAUCUGCAUCAGGAACUUGCCACAGGUGUUGGCUGCCGUCCACAGGGGGCCUCGUCUUUGAGCCCCACUCACAGGCGCUUUUAGGGGCAACAGGGUCUAAUAGAAAAGGCUACUCCUCCUGCCUUGUUAUUAUUUUUAGUAGUUGUGGUUGUUACAUCUCUAAACUCUAUAGGAUCCGAAAGGCAAGAAUUGCCCCAUUUUACAGAUGAAGAAUUGACAUUGAAUGAUUUGCCCUAAGUUAGACUUGGGCUCAGUAACAGAGUUACCUUGCCUGGGUGCCAGGACCUCCAUGCUCUUCUGUUUUAGUGUGUACCCAGGAGAUUUGGUGCAUGCCUGUUUCCCCCCUCUCCUGUGCUCGCCAUGCAGGUAAGCAUCAUGUCACGUUCACCUGGCACGGAGCAGGCCCUUACUUGUUUACUGAACUGGAUUCUGAUGCUAAUUUUGUGCUUGUUCCUCUCCAGGGAAGCGUGCACCUACGAAUGCCCCUGGCUUCCCUUUUACCCCGUAUAAUUUUUUUUUUCCCAUUAAAAAGAAAAGAAGAAACUUAGGUCCUUUGCUCAGGUUCAAAAUUUACCCUCCUAGCUUCCUCGUUUACCUGCCUGAGGGUUCGUUCUGUUUGGGGGCCACUCACUGAGAACAAAAUCUGGUUGCUGCCCUGGAGCCUGGGAGAUGGUCUGCCAAGUAUGGGGCUUCACCACAGUUCAUAGGACCCUCCACCAGCACGUGGCAGCCAGUGUCCCCUUCUUGCACAUCUGGGGACACUGUCCGAGCGGCCUCCCAUCGUUGUGACUUGUGAGUGAGACAGGUGUGAGGUGCCGUGUGGGUGGACACCAGGGCAGCCAGUAUCAGGGCUGGGGGUGUUGUCAGUAGACCUCUCUCUGCCCCCCACCCCUCGCCUCCGCCUGGGCAGUUUGUGACUUGUUGCAGAGGCAAUGCUGGCUUUUUACAGGCAGCUCCAGCCCGGGCUGUGGUUUUUCAACUUGGCCACGAUUUUCACACUCAUGCCAAGUGCUCUGGUGCCAGAAAACCGCCCUUGGGAUGGACUCUUCCAAAAGAAGCAUUUAUGUCCAGCUAUCAGAAAAAUGCCACUUUUCUCAUCUGAGUUUUGACUUUGCCUUUUCAGUUAGUUGGAUUCCUCGCAUGAUCCUGAUAAAGGAGAUCGUGUGUAUCUCCCAGUUUGUUUUUCCAAAUAAAGUCCCGGCGUUAUUUCUUUUCCAGCACAUGUUUUUCUGCUUUAGGCAAAACAGAAGUGGACCUCAUUUUUGUUUUGAAAUGUGACAAGAGAUUAACAUAGCACAGCUCAGAAUGCCUCUCGUGAUCUCUGAGUGGGAAUUAUGAAGCCCGGGGUCCAAGAUUUGAUGCCCAAGGACCAGAAUUUUUUUCCAUGGAGAAUUUCAAAUACAUACAACGGGGGAGAGGGGAGCACAGUGAAACUCCGUGUCCCCCAGCUUCGACAACUAACAAUUUGCAGAAACAAAUCGCACCCACUCCCCCCAUCACUGGAUAAUUUUGAAACAAAUCCAAAUGUAUGUUUUCUGCACAUAUUUCAGUAUGUGUCUCUAAAACACAAUGACUCAAAACCACAAGACCGUUACCACACUUCCAGAGUGAACGACUCCUUAAUGUUAUCAAAUCUAGUCAGAACUCAGUUUUCCAGUUAUCUCCUAACUGUUGAAUGGUUUAUUUGUAAGCUUCGGGGUUGAAGUACGGUCCACAAACUGCAGUUAAUCGACCUGUGAUGGCCUGGAUCUCAAUUCGAUGGUGUGAUGCCUCAUCAGAGAACAACCGGCCCCACUCUUCCAAGGCUCCAGAUCUCAGAGCCAAGCUGGCUGUGUCCAUCCUGUGCCCUCACUUGGUCAUGGAAUCAGACAGAAACUGUUACCACCACCGUCUCCACCACCCUGGGGUAAGCCCUCAUCAUGUCCACCGUCAAGGCUUCCUGCAGAGUUCCGUGCCUCAGCCUCUCCUGUUAGCUGCCAGGCUCCUUUCUCUCCUAACCGAGUUUAACCAGACUAACCAGACGUUGCCCUGCCUCUGUGGCGCCGCCCCUCCACCCCACCCCCCUUCUCCAGAGCACGCCCACUCCACCCAACGGAUCAGAGCGGAGCCAUAGCCAUCUUUCAAGGCCUGUCGAGGCCUUCGGUGGCCCUCAUACCCUCCCCCGCCAGCCCCUAUGGUCAGGCCGGCUUCCCCAUCCUCAGAACAAGCUAUGAACUAACUCAACCUUCCCAUAUGUUCUUAUGCUAAAAAAUGUGCUUAAAAUGCCACCUUCUUUCCUCUUUGCCUUUCUGAAUCCUGUUCACUCUUCCAAGUCCAGCUCAAGUCCUGCCAAAACUACUUCCAGGGCUUUCUCCCUGCCCCAGGACUCCUUGGCCAGCCUGCUGGGGGUUCACACAGUGGUACAGUGAUAUGAAUACUCACUAAAGUCUCAUGUGUGACUGCUGUCUCCAGACUAGCACAUGAACCUGCUCCAGACUAGAACUCUGUCUACAAAUUUCACAGUCCUUUUGAAGACUAGAGCUUUUUGUCACGUCCCUCCCCCAUGUCUGAUAUAGCAACACUUACUAAACACUUAAUAAAUUGAUUUGGGGGAUUUCUUAAGCUCAUUUCAGAAAUCUAGCC